AAAAAAAAGAAGUCUUACACCAAGUUUGAAAGUGCAGAGAGAUUUUCAGAAGCAAGAGGUUUCGUUUCCUAUAAUAAUAUAUUUCUGUACUGCCUCCCGUCUCAAAUCUACAGCAGGAGAAAAGACAAAAAUGGAAAUAACACAAGAGAGCAGCAUCAUUCUCUCCCGUCCUACUGGGCCUCUCAAGCUUUGCUCCCAGCUGUGGCAACAAGGAACGGCAUGGCACAGUCCUUUCCUAAACCAGAGCACCAAGCUAGAGUCUCCUGCUCCCCGGAAUCAAAACUAACAUUUGGAGCCAAGGCACUUAAUUCAUCAUUCUUCCAAAGCAACGGUGCUCCGGGCUGGUAUUUUGAAACCUUAGUGACCUUUGCCAAAGAGCUUUGAAGAUUGCACUGUCUUGUCAAUCCAGCAGGAUAUCCAUAUAUACCUAACCCUUUCUGGAAGAUCUGAACAACAUUCUCCCUAAGAAUCUGCCUGUGGGGAUUCUUCCUUAGCGCCCCCGCGGUCCCGCGCGCCCACACGCGCGGCGAUCCUCACUCUCCUGUAAACUACGGCCCCGCGGGGACCCGAUCUGCUUUUGCAACCUCCUGCCGCACGGCCUUCACUCUCCAGAUAUUCGCUCCCGGAGUGAGCCCGCACCUUGCAGCGCUCCCUCUCCC
This 659-nucleotide long non-coding RNA is filed under the name Ursus thibetanus thibetanus. RNAcentral's name for it is "lncRNA (ENSUTTG00000017955.1)". The record is from RNAcentral. Lineage: Eukaryota; Metazoa; Chordata; Mammalia; Carnivora; Ursidae.